GUCCCCGUGCUGUAGUGGUUAGCAUGACCGUCUAGCAAACGCGAGAUAUUAGGUUCGAUUCUUUACCGGGACA
This 73-nucleotide transfer RNA is filed under the name Oryctes borbonicus. It matches the Rfam family "tRNA". Rfam says of the family: Transfer RNA (tRNA) molecules are approximately 80 nucleotides in length. Their secondary structure includes four short double-helical elements and three loops (D, anti-codon, and T loops). The record is from Rfam by way of RNAcentral. Lineage: Eukaryota; Metazoa; Arthropoda; Insecta; Coleoptera; Scarabaeidae.